This 396-nucleotide ribosomal RNA is filed under the name Triticum aestivum (bread wheat). RNAcentral describes it as "partial small subunit ribosomal RNA". The record is from RNAcentral. Lineage: Eukaryota; Viridiplantae; Streptophyta; Magnoliopsida; Poales; Poaceae.
AUGACAGGAUCCAGAGUCAAUUCAUGGGCUUUGUCGAUCGCGGGAGACGUGCCACCACCUUUGCAAAUACCACAACCGUCACGAGAGGUGCACAAACAUCCAAAUGCACGUGAUCAGGUUAAUGUAUCUAUACCACCAUUUAAUGGCCGUUUUAAACCUGCUUUAUAUAUUGAAUGGGAGUUCGACAUAAAAAAUAUAUUUGCUUCCCAUAAUUUCAAUGAACAUAAAAAGGUUAAGGUUGCGGUUGGUUCUUUCACUGGUUAUGCUUUGGUUUGGUGGAGUGAAUAUUGUCGGUUACACCCUGAUUAUAUACCUACUACUUGGGAUGAUUUGAAACUUGCCAUGCGACAUACUUUCGUCCCUGCUUAUUAUACUCGUGACAUGAUUAAGAAGUUG